This 334-nucleotide long non-coding RNA is filed under the name Ananas comosus (pineapple). RNAcentral's name for it is "long non-coding RNA (ACOM_LNC025715)". The record is from RNAcentral. Lineage: Eukaryota; Viridiplantae; Streptophyta; Magnoliopsida; Poales; Bromeliaceae.
GAGAGAGAGAGAGAGAGAGAGAGAGAGUUUUGCUAGAAUACUAUCAGUAGUAAAUGAGCCGUUUUACUACCUAUUUGUUUUCGAUGAUAGAGCUUCCAAAUUGACGAUCGGCUCCGUUGAACAUGAUCUAUACCACUUGAAGUGUUUAGAAAUCAAAUUUCAAAUCUUUUCGACAUCAUUUGCCUAAUGAUCAAAGGGUUUCAAAAUUUGUAGUUUUAAUGGUCGAUAGGAGGCGUUUUCUCGUUUAACGGCGUAAAGAUAUCCAAAUCAAUUAAAUUUUUGUUAGAAAAUUCUUUAAACUAUUUAAAACAAGAUCUAUACUCUUGAUCUUGAU